This 253-nucleotide ribosomal RNA is filed under the name uncultured bacterium. Its description in RNAcentral is "partial 16S ribosomal RNA". It matches the Rfam family "Bacterial small subunit ribosomal RNA", at positions 524 to 776 of the family's 1533-position model. The record is from RNAcentral.
UACGGAGGGUGCAAACGUUGGUCGGAAUCAUUGGGCGUAAAGGGCGCGUAGGUGGCGAUGUAUGUCUGAUGUGAAGGCCCGGGGCUUAACUCCGGAAGUGCGUCGGAAACUGCAUCACUUGAGUCUCGGAGAGGAUAACGGAAUUCCUGGUGUAGAGGUGAAAUUCGUAGAUAUCAGGAGGAACACCGGUGGCGAAGGCGGUUAUCUGGACGAAGACUGACGCUGAGGCGCGAAAGCGUGGGGAGCAAACAGG